UUGUGGUAGUGGGGGACUGCGUUCGCGCUCUCCCCUG
This 37-nucleotide non-coding RNA is filed under the name Mus musculus (house mouse). Lineage: Eukaryota; Metazoa; Chordata; Mammalia; Rodentia; Muridae. The record is from RNAcentral.